Molecule: long non-coding RNA, 5684 nt
Filed under: Neodiprion lecontei (redheaded pine sawfly)
Lineage: Eukaryota; Metazoa; Arthropoda; Insecta; Hymenoptera; Diprionidae
Description: uncharacterized LOC107218235
Source: RNAcentral
CCGCCUCCGCAGUGAGCGUCGCGACGCCUGACGAGUGCCGUUAGCCGCGAUCGCACGAUCUUCGAUCCCGGGCACGAGGCCUAGAAAAUCGGAACGCGCGUGCUGCCCGAAGCGCAGAGAUCAUCCGUACGAGUGCCGGGGUGAAAGAAAUUCGGCGAUACAAAUUCGUCCGUAUAAUUUCAAUCUCGUGAUUUUAAAAUACGGACAACGCUCUGCGCGUUCUCGAUCGCUCAGAGAAUUGCUGUCGUAAUUGUUAUCGCUGUUGUUGUUGUUAUUAUUAUUAUUAUUGUCGUUUUAACGAGUAAUCGAGAUUGUGUUUGAUAAUAUACAUACGUAGUUCUGGGUAUAUACGAUUAUAAACGUAUGAAAACGAAAGAAGAAGAAGAAAGAAGACAAGAAAAUAACGAAUGUUUCGAUACUCGCGCCAAAAUUGAGGUGGUGAUCCGUUUUCGAUACAAGAACUGCUCGCUGAUCGACGAACUGCCAGAGUUUCGAAAAAGAAGCUGAGCGUUCCCGAUGGCCAAGUUUUUCCAAACUAUCAGCUGGCUCGUCAUCGUAAAGAGUCUUGAAGAUAUACGGGAACGCCGUUAACGUCAUACCGACUAUAAAAUUUAUCCGAUGCAGGAUAAGGAGCUGACGCAAACGUAUCGGCUGAAAAACCUCGCCGGGAAUCCGGUGCUGCAAUCCUUAACGACAGACCCAUCGAACCGGUGCUGAUUCCGCACCUCGACGAUCAGCGGAAAUACGACGUCGCUACUUCAAAAAUGGACGGAUGUGGCGCGUCGAGCUGCCGCUGCGGGCUGCUUCCGGUUCUGCGGGGAAGAAGCUUGGAUCGAAUCUCCGCAAGCGCUGAUUAAUCAGCGUCCUUUCCUCUCGUUCCUCCGAAAUACGGCGAAUCGGAAUCGGUGGAUUUUAACGGACAAUGCAAAGCCCGGAAUUAACAGAGAAAAAGUUUUUCAGGGUAAAACCUUUCCUUGUCACCGAACGGGCGGAGUAAUCGCUGUGAUAUAUGGCUCUUCCAUUCCUGCCGGUUAACGAGUCCCGCAAAGAAUGAUGCCGAGGCGAUUCACAAUCGUGUGAAUGAACACAUCUGGCCGAAUCGAACGACGACUUUUCCUACUUCAGGUGAACACUGGCUUCGCACCACCCGGACGAUACUUUCGACUUUUUUUUCCUUCUUCCAAGAUGAAUUACGAAGACGAUAUACGAGGAGGGCGGAGUGUGAAUGCGAGGGAAAGAUGAAGAAUCGAGGGGAUCAGGCUGCGGUUGACUCUCUCGUCGGUGCCUGCAAGUGAUUUUCACAAACGGCGAAAACGUUCUCCGGUUGGUGAAUCUGGCGACCUAGCCGGAGUCAUCGGAAUGUCGUUCGAUGAGUUUUGGAAUGGACUGGAAUUGAAGCGUUCUCGAAGAAUUUUGCCCGGCAGAGCGAGAAUUAUUCGUGCCGAAAGAAUUAGAAACUCUCGACGGUCCAAGAAAAACGCGGUGGCCUUACGUCUUUGUCACGUUGUUUCUAAUACCGUGGAGUAAUCGAAUCCUAACGAUGCAGUUGCAUCAAUACGCAUACAGUGACGUGAGACUAUCGGAAAAACUGAAUUCUCUAAUGCGACGAUUUUUCUAGGGCGACAAUAAAAACUCACCGUGUAAAAAGAUGCGAUAAAAUAGCACCAUACGUACUUUACUCUUUCUGUAGGUAACGAACGAAGCUCUGUAAUGGAUUCGACGUAUCCAACUAUCGUCAAUUGUAUUCCAGCGAUAACUGCAAGGAGCUUUGUCCGAAACGUUGAUAUGCACUGAGAACCAACAUCUGACACGCGAUAAUAUUGAUGGGUGGGUGUAUUUACGAGAACGAAGGAAAUGCGCUUUGCAUGUUCAGAGUUCUGAGAAAAGAACACUGCACUGUCUCUCGUCAAGCUUGGCAUCGAUAUCCCCUAAUGAUUAAUCAUCCCCCAUAGGUAGAAAUACAUUGCAAUAAAAAUCGCCCUGAUACAUUCAUCCCAAGAAAUCGAAUGAAUUCACCUACUGAACGAGAAUAAAAUGUAAGAAAUAGAAAUCGUCUCUCUUGGUAUCGUCUUUCUUUUUCACGAUCAAUAAUUACGUACAUAAUAUGUAAUAAUGUAAUCGCCGAUGCGGCAAUUCUCCCUCUUGGGGUAGUAAAUGUGUGAAAACGUUGGCGAAUAUGGUAUUUAACAUUGUUCAAUGUGACAGGAAAUUUAAUUUUAUUGUCAGCUGCGAGCAAUUUAUGAGUUGCGAGUGAUUGGCAAUUAUGAAAUGUGGUACGAUUUGAAAAUUUAUAUCCAAAAUAGCGAAGUCUUGCAGGAACACCGGGCAAUUUAAAUAUCACUAUCGCAAUGAGGAGCGUCAGAAUCUCUUUUGUUUUUAUUAGUACUCGUAAAACACGUAAUGAAAUUAAACCAUCGUUACAAAGAUCAAAAAUUUUAUUUUCCCUGUUGAAAAAAUUGAUCGUUGUAAAGAAAAUGGAGAAAAACAGAAACCGGACUUCGAUCAAGUCCGGAAUGUUUGCGGAAAUCUUUGUGAUCACGGCGAUACUGCGGAAACGAAAAAUAAAAAUUUUUUUUUUUCUAAAUUAGUGAACCGAUCGUCUGAUUCACGGGUUAUUGUAUCGUGCCGGUUGUCGAGUUGAUCUGACGACGAAGCUGAAUAACGCAUGAAGUGUUAUACCAUGUGCAAUUGAACAGUGAAUAAAAUAAACAUAUACAUGUAUAAUAUAUGCCAUAACUUUGUCUAUUCAUGUAUAAUUAGCGAGUAACUUUUUACAUUAUAAUUGUUAUACCGAACACAUCAUGUAUAUUGAAGUAUCGAGGAUAUAAUCUAUAUUCAUAUGUAUUGGUAUGUAGAUUGAAGUUCGAAGAAAAGAGAGAUUCAACUAUGUAUACAUACAUAUUGUAUGUAUAUGUAUAUUAAAGGGACAGAGGAGAUGGUAUCGUUUUGUAAAUAUGCUAAACACGCGACAAGCUGAAUAUUUAUAAUAACUUACACAUGAUACAUUUAUUACGUUCGUGAAUUGAUUAUACCUACCGCAUGACAAAAUAUACCGCAUAGCUGCCGCAGUGACAGAGUUAAAUACGCAUUGCACAAUAGUAUCGUUAAUACAAGUUUAUAUUGUCGUUGUGCAGAAAGGAGAUAUUACUUUGAAUGUCGAUUAAUUCUAAGUUGAACAACGACCGUAUAAUCGCCGCAGGUAUACGUAUACAGCUGAUCCAUACAUAAAGAAUUGAGUCAAAUAACUUGGAUAAAAUGAAACCCGUUGUUUUCGAUUAAUGAUUGUUAUUAGUCGCGGAUCAAUGAAUAAAUUUUCUAAAUUGUAUAAGAACGCGAUGGAGAAUAAUUGAUUGGUGAAAAUAAAAAUAAAAAACUUGUGCAUCUGAGGGAAGAUAAGGAUAAGAAAUUGAACAAGUAUAAAUAGACAAAUAAAUAGAGGAAUAGAUGAUUAAAAAAAAAAAAAAAAGCGCGCAAGACAGGGUAGAUAUUAAAUACAUUAUAGGGACCACCGCUGUGAUCCAAGGACCGCACGGACGCAGACUGCGAGUAUAUUUCAUGAAUAUUUCAGCGGCUAGCGUUAGCAAUAAAUACGAAGCUGCGGUAUUAUAUUCCUGAGAUAGCCCUCUGCCUACAUGGUGCUAUCCGUAGCCAGAGCCAGAGCCAGAGGCCGACGUCGACGUCGACGCGGAAUACUAAUUGACGCAACGACCGCAAACAGACCCACACAAUAUGUCCCGCUUUUACUGCUCCAUGCAUGACCCUCGGUAUUUUUCAUUAAUUCAGCUGAUAUAAUGCCUGCGCCGUUGUGGAAACUGCAGAGCAGAUACGUACGAAAAAUCGUUCUCUGUAUCGCGAAAUAUCGUGGAUGUAUAUAUUUUUUUUUUUCCAUCACCGUAAAGUUGCGGAUGCAUGAUUUGAUUUUUGACGAGUGCGGGAAGACGCGAAGAUCAGCCAAGAAUUUCGUUGCUCUUCGUUCAAAAUGACAGAGAACGAUCAGUUUUUUUUUGCCUGUAAUUUGAUUCAAAUUCAUCGAAAUAUAUACAAUAUUUGCUCUUGCAAUUAUAUUUAUCUCGCAAUGCUCUGCAUUUUCGGACAUUUUUUUUAAAACGAUUCCGCAGUCUAUCAGGACGGUAAAACUUGAUCUGAAGGUAAAAGAGGACGUCCUUUUUUUAAUUUGUUUUUUUUUUUUUUGUUCUAUUUUUUAUCUACCUCCCAACGACAAUUAAUCCGUAACGGAUUUUAUGCCGCGCGCGAGAUUGUGUCUAAAAACUACAAGGCUCCAUUGGAUGUGAUAAAAUAAAAAUAAAAGUGAAGAUGUAAAGAGAGAAAGAGAAAGAGCGAGUGAGAGAGUAAAAAAUAGAAAGAGAAUAAAACAAACGAUAUGACGUUGAAAGCCUUUUACAAAAUGGACAAAAGCGCGGGAGAAAUUUGGUUCGUACGAAUUAUAAUGCACUACUCUUCGUUGUGUCAAUGUAACGUCUGAUAUAAUUUUCUCAGGAAACAAAACGUAGUUUAUUUUCAACUGCACGUUAAUCGCUUGAAACACUUUGAAUAAAAUGAGAACGAAAUGAUAUCUGUAAUUGCGAACGAAAUUUUCGUACGACAAUUGAAGGGGAAUUAAAUUUUUUUCACAAAUAGUAAACUGUCUGUGUCUUAUAUGUAUUAAACUAAUUUAACAUUUCGAACGGUUAAUUUUUACCCUAUGAAUUGAAAAAGCCAUGAAAGAGGGAAUCCGAAGCAGCGAAACUCAAUUUUCGUUUCUUUGACGAUUAUACGUCUCGAAUGCGGUAAAUAAUUUCAAGAGCCGUCAGGUAAAUCCACUGCGAAUGCGGCUGAUAUUCAUACCUUACGAAUGUGUGGGAGGAAAAGAAAGAACAAACGCCUUUGGUCGCCGAAGUUAUUUUUUUACUUUACUUUUGUUCAUUCUUAUUCCUGCCAACUCCACAGAUUUGGGAAUCUGGAUGGACGGCGAGUGCGACGGAAGCGUGGGAGUGGAGUAAUUAUAAAAAUCCUCCCGAGACGCGGGGGUUGAAAUUGAUCCGACAUCCGUGAUCAGCCUGGGAAACUGAAACUUAAAAGAUUGGAGUUCAUCGCACCUGUAAAUCCCGUUCAUUAGUAUCCCCGUAAAGCCAGCUACUCUAACGAUAAGUCGCUUAGCGGGCGACUGAACCAGCGAUAUAAAAGAGAGCGAACGCGAUCGGGCUAAUUAAUUAAUCGCGAGAUUAUGCAAGAUGCUCGGCGAAGCUCGUCGUUGUAAUUUAUCACUUUGCAUGGAUGUAAUUACUCCCUCGUAAUUACCCACGUUUCAAACCACGCGUGCAGGGUUUCGCACGACAUUCCGUUUCGCGAACUGUCCGCGUACUUGCAGAGAUAUUGACUGAACAAAUGCGAUUCGCGUUGGGUGCGAAAGGGUCGAUUCUAGCGGAAUGACGCUAAUAGCCGGGGCCUAAAAUUGUCCACGUCGCGUCGAAGCGGCAACGACGAAAGCAGCGAAUCGGAGUCCGAAUUACCCGCGCGAUAAUUUGGAGGACUGAACGAACGGCGAUGUUACACCGAAAUAUAACGGAAUCGUUGUAACAUCUAACUGCAAUAUCAUCGCAGUCAGGUGAAAUCUCUUGAGUGAGCUUAUGUAUCUUGUAAGCUAUGAUGGGAGUGAAUCCUCGAAUAAAACGAAAAUUUCAACA